AUUGAACGCUGGCGGCAGGCCUAACACAUGCAAGUCGAACGAGUGGCGGACGGGUGAGUAAUGUCUGGGAAACUUCCUGAUGGAGGGGGAUAACUACUGGAAACGGUCGCUAAUACCGCAUACCAUCAGAUGUGCCCAGAUGGGAUUAGCUAGUUGGUGGGGUAAAGGCUCACCAAGGCGACGAUCCCUAGCUGUUCUGAGAGGGUGACAAGCCACACGGGAACUGAGACGCGGUCCAGACUCAUCAGGGAGGCAGCGGUGGGGAAUAUUGCACAAUGGGCGCAAGCCUGAUGCAGCCAUGCCGAGUGUAUGAAGAAGGCAUUCGGGUUGUAAAGUACUUUCAGCGGGGAGGCGUUACCCGCAGAAGAAGCACCGGCUAACUCCGUGCCAGCAGCCGCGGUAAUAC
RNAcentral lists this ribosomal RNA (406 nucleotides) under uncultured bacterium. RNAcentral describes it as "partial 16S ribosomal RNA". It matches the Rfam family "Bacterial small subunit ribosomal RNA", at positions 30 to 526 of the family's 1533-position model. The record is from RNAcentral.